Molecule: ribosomal RNA, 468 nt
Filed under: uncultured bacterium
Lineage: Bacteria
Description: partial 16S ribosomal RNA
Rfam family: Bacterial small subunit ribosomal RNA
Source: RNAcentral
GACGAACGCUGGCGGCGUGCUUAACACAUGCAAGUCGAACGGAAAGGCCCUGCUUUUGUGGGGUGCUCGAGUGGCGAACGGGUGAGUAACACGUGAGUAACCUGCCCUUGACUUUGGGAUAACUUCAUGAAACUGGGGCUAAUAACGGAUAGGAGCACCUGCUGCAUGGUGGGGGUUGGAAAGUUUCGGCGGUUGGGGAUGGACUCGCGGCUUAUCAGCUUGUUGGUGGGGUAGUGGCUUACCAAGGCUUUGACGGGUAGCCGGCCUGAGAGGGUGACCGGCCACAUUGGGACUGGGAUGCGGCCCAGACUCCUACGGGAGGCAGCAGUGGGGAAUAUUGCACGAUGGGCGGAGGCCUGAUGCAGCAACGCCGCGUGCGGGAUGACGGCCUUCGGGUUGUAAACCGCUUUCGCCUGUGACGAAGCGUGAGUGACGGUAAUGGGUAAAGAAGCACCGGCUAACUACGUG